RNAcentral lists this ribosomal RNA (550 nucleotides) under Duellmanohyla salvadorensis (Guerreran stream frog). Its description in RNAcentral is "partial 16S ribosomal RNA". It matches the Rfam family "Bacterial large subunit ribosomal RNA", at positions 1835 to 2587 of the family's 2925-position model. Lineage: Eukaryota; Metazoa; Chordata; Amphibia; Anura; Hylidae. The record is from RNAcentral.
UUGAUUUAAUAUAAGAGGUCCAGCCUGCCCAGUGACUCUGUUUAACGGCCGCGGUAUCCUAACCGUGCGAAGGUAGCGUAAUCACUUGCCCCUUAAAUCGGGGCUAGUAUGAACGGCAUCACGAAGGUUACACUGUCUCCUUUUUCUAAUCAGUGAAUCUGAUCUCUCCGUGAAGAAGCGGGGAUAAAGUUAUAAGACGAGAAGACCCUAUGGAGCUUUAAACCAAGUAGCAGUUGCUUAUAUUUUUCAUAUUUCAGAAUCCUAACAUUUAUUCUAGCUAAAUGCCCACUGGUUUUAGGUCGGGGCGACCGCGGAGUAAAAAGUAACCUCCACAUUGAACGGAACCAGUUCCUGAGCCUCGGGUCACAACCCUAAGCACCAAUAAAUUGACAUUAAUUGACCCAAUGUUUGAUCAACGAACCAAGUUACCCUAGGGAUAACAGCGCAAUCCACUUCAAGAGCUCCUAUCGACAAGCGGGUUUACGACCUCGAUGUUGGAUCAGGGUGUCCCAGUGGUGCAGCCGCUACUAAAGGUUCGUUUGUUCAACGA